AGUUAAUUAUGCUAAAAAAGCAAUAUACUUUGAAAGUAUAGGAUAAUCAUUUUAUUAACUU
This 61-nucleotide transfer RNA is filed under the name Allobathynella sp. JHS-2017. Its description in RNAcentral is "tRNA-Ser". Lineage: Eukaryota; Metazoa; Arthropoda; Malacostraca; Bathynellacea; Parabathynellidae. The record is from RNAcentral.